GUGUAGAGCUUCAUGGGCAUGGGCAUGGUAGAACUUCGUGGUCAUCCUGGUCAUGGUCAUGGGUCUAGAACUUCAUGGUCAUGGUCAUCAUGGCCAUGGGUGCAAAGCUUCAUGGUCAUGGUCAUGGGUGUAGAGGUUCAUGGUCAUGGUCAUCAUGGCCAUGGGUGUAGAGCUUCAUGGGCAUGGGCAUGGUAGAACUUCGUGGUCAUCAUGGUCAUGGUCAUGGGUCUAGAGCUUCAUGGUCAUGAGUAUAGAGGUUCUUGGUCAUGGCCAUGGUUGUAGAGGUUCAUGGUCAUGGUCGUCACGGUCAUGGNNNNNNNNNNAGAGUCUUUUUUUUUUUUUUUUCAUUUUUGCUGAAAUUCCAGAACCAAAAAUGAAAAAUUGGGUUUUGAAAAAUUUGUUUUUUAAAAAAAAACAACUUUUGAAAAAAGUAUUUUUUCAAACGACCAAAAAUUUGUGUUCUCUACCGGAGGAGAUCAAUAUAUUAAAUAUUAAAGUUUGUUAAAAUAAAAUUUUUGUGCAAGGUGGCUCUCCCAACCAACCACAAAAUUCACUUUUUUUUCUUUUUUUUUUAAUUUCCAAUUAUGAAAGCACCAAAAAUGAAGAAUUCUGAGCUCUAAACGUCUGCUCUCCCACAAUUCAACUGCGGAGCAAAAUUCCUAGAAAAACAGGAAAGCAAAAAAUUCAGUAACGCACCUUACGGCCCUCCCACCUUCCUUUCCAGCUGUGGUUUUGCAGCCGUAAUUCCUGGUUUUAUUCCGUCUCGUUAUCAGCCGGGCGUGUCAUUUGCUAACGAACCCGGCCAAUGGCAGCUACACGCUGCCGUAAAUGGCUUUAAUUUUUAAUUUAUUUUUUUUUAAAGGUUUACAGUUUCGCUGAUUCUGCAGAGCGUCCAAUGCAGGCGUUUCCCUGAAUUACAGUACUACGUGAUAAAAUAUAAAUUAAAAAAAAAUAAAUUUCUGAGGGUUUAUUGCCCAUUUGCAGUGAGCCACGAUUACCUGAAAUUAAGGCAUCAAAAUUAGAAAUAAAAUUAGAAUUAAAAUGACAUCGAGGCACUACAAAUAAAAUUAGAAUUAAAAUUAGGAUUAAAAAUGAAAUCAGGUGAUUAAAAUUAAAUUUAGAAUUUUAGAAUUAGAACUAGAGUUAGAACUAGAGUUAGAAUUGAAAUUAAUAGAACUAAAAUUAGGAUUAAAAAUGAAAUCAGGUGAUUAAAAUUAAAUUUAGAAUUAUUAGAAUUUUAGAAUUAGAACUAGAGUUAGAACUAGAGUUAGAAUUAAAAUUAAUAGAACUAAAAUUAGAAAUUAAAAUUAAAAUU
Molecule: long non-coding RNA, 1315 nt
Filed under: Anas zonorhyncha (Eastern spot-billed duck)
Lineage: Eukaryota; Metazoa; Chordata; Aves; Anseriformes; Anatidae
Description: lncRNA (ENSAZOG00000007487.1)
Source: RNAcentral